RNAcentral lists this ribosomal RNA (259 nucleotides) under uncultured Leptotrichia sp. Its description in RNAcentral is "partial 16S ribosomal RNA". It matches the Rfam family "Bacterial small subunit ribosomal RNA", at positions 96 to 355 of the family's 1533-position model. Lineage: Bacteria; Fusobacteriati; Fusobacteriota; Fusobacteriia; Fusobacteriales; Leptotrichiaceae. The record is from RNAcentral.
UGGCGGACGGGUGAGUAACGCGUAAAGAACUUGCCCUUUAGACUGGGAUAACAGAGGGAAACUUCUGAUAAUACUGGAUAAGUUAGUAUAUCGCAUGAUAUGCAAAUGAAAGCUACGGCACUAAAGGAGAGCUUUGCGUCCUAUUAGCUAGUUGGUAAGGUAAGAGCUUACCAAGGCGAUGAUAGGUAGCCGGCCUGAGAGGGUGGACGGCCACAAGGGGACUGAGAUACGGCCCUUACUCCUACGGGAGGCAGCAGUC